AGUGAAAGACAUGCAGUCAGACCUUUCUAUUUCAUUCGUGCUAAGCAAUUAAUAGAGAAGUCAAAACUUAAUAUCUAGAAGGGGGAAAUAUAAACCGCUAAACAGGAUGAAUUCUUUAAAUAGGCCAUAUUUUCCCAUUUAUUUUAAAUAGUCUUACUUUUUCUGACUUUUAGUUUGAUCCCUGAACGUCUCUUGAAUUUUAUUUUCACUUUCCUCAUUGUGACGCAGUUCAGAUUUGCCGCAUAAGCCUCAAUCUGUGGUGAGUGGAGCGAGCGCCACCUAGUGGGAGCAUGGAUCAGUGCGAGGACAGAGAGGACACAGUCCUUCCCUCCAAAAUGUCUCUCAUUAGGGGACAUGAGGACCAGAGGAAGCUAUCAGAACCAGAACCAGAACCAGAACCGAGAUCCAGCUGUGUUUCCUUCAGCAGUAACAACUCAAAGAGGAAUCACACAGCUGAGCCCAGCUGUGUGUCAUGGAAGAGCAACCAGUCCAAGGACAUUAUUAUUCUGUUUAAAUCAGACCAGCCUCCAGCAGCAAAGAGGUGAGCUGGCUCUAAAGGUUCUGCUCAAUGUUCUGCUAUAUAUAU
Poecilia latipinna (sailfin molly) is the source of this 586-nucleotide long non-coding RNA. RefSeq lists it as uncharacterized. The transcript has 4 exons. Lineage: Eukaryota; Metazoa; Chordata; Actinopteri; Cyprinodontiformes; Poeciliidae. The record is from RefSeq and is a predicted model, not a curated record.